UACGAAGGGGGCUAGCGUUGCUCGGAAUCACUGGGCGUAAAGGGCGCGUAGGCGGAUCUUUAAGUCGGGGGUGAAAGCCCGGGGCUCAACCCUGGAAUUGCCUUCGAUACUGAAGAUCUCGAGACCGGAAGGGGUAAGUGGAACUGCGAGUGUAGAGGUGAAAUUCGUAGAUAUUCGCAAGAACACCAGUGGCGAAGGCGGCUUACUGGUCCGGUUCUGACGCUGAGGCGCGAAAGCGUGGGGAGCAAACAGG
Molecule: ribosomal RNA, 253 nt
Filed under: uncultured prokaryote
Description: partial 16S ribosomal RNA
Rfam family: Bacterial small subunit ribosomal RNA
Source: RNAcentral